RNAcentral lists this transfer RNA (73 nucleotides) under Candidatus Methanoplasma glyptotermitis. RNAcentral describes it as "tRNA-Val". It matches the Rfam family "tRNA". Rfam says of the family: Transfer RNA (tRNA) molecules are approximately 80 nucleotides in length. Their secondary structure includes four short double-helical elements and three loops (D, anti-codon, and T loops). Lineage: Archaea; Methanobacteriati; Thermoplasmatota; Thermoplasmata; Methanomassiliicoccales; Methanomassiliicoccaceae. The record is from RNAcentral.
GGGCCUGUGGUCUAGGGGUUAUGACGUCGCCUUCACACGGCGGAGGUCGCCGGUUCAAAUCCGGCCGGGCCCA